AUGCGUGCGCCGGCGGGGAGGAGGCGGGGCUCCCAGCCUCGCGACGAGGCCGCUCACUUUGUGAUGAGCGAUCUUGCGCUAAGCGACGACCACGCCAUGCUGCUCCAUGGCCAUGGCCGCGGCGAAUCCAAGAUCUACCCAGGCCAUCGGGCCGUGUUCUCGGCAAAUCCAAGAGCCGUACAGGGUGGUGGCGCCAACGAAUCACCACGCCAAACGAGGAGUUCAUGUGCACAGGCAAUUUGGAAGAACGACGCUGCUCUCCUCCCGAUGAGUGCGGAAGCAAAACUGUUCUCCCCCGACGGGUACGCUGGAAUCCGCAACGUCUCAGGCGUUUUCUGCUCACAAGAAGGGGGUCAUAUCGAUGCUGUGCCAGCGCAGGACGAUCAGCACAAGAGCAGAGAGAGUGAUCUUCUCCUCUUCGACUGGCCUGAGCUGGAUGACUUGGAGGAUCUCGACACAGACCUGAGAAAACUCGAUUCGGCGUUUGAGUUAGGGAUCGAUUACUUUGAUCACCCGAUGUGGUCCUCCAUUUGCUCGCCGGACGUUCAGCUCGUGCCGAGCAGCCACUCUGACAACCCCCAUCCGUCCAAUGUUGCGAACGAUCAGCAGCUAUCCUGGAAGAAAGGAAAGGACACGCCACUGAACUCGUCUUCCUCCUCCGUGGAGAUCGAGCAUUUCCCAGGGCUGUCAGACGCCGACCUCCUCUGCCCCUUCGACUUCCAUGACAUGCUCGUCCCAACAUCGUCCAGCGUCAUGUGCAACGACGAGAUCAUCAUGUCUUCCUCCGCUGCUCGCUCCAGCAUCAUGUGCAACGACGAGAGCAUCAUGUCUUCCUCCGCUGCUCGCUCCGGGGCAGACGACCUCGUCUCGGCGUACGUUUCGACGAAGAAUAGUCAGCCGCGUGCGACUCCGGACAUGAUCCUGGACGAGAUGGCCGGGAACCCGCUCGAGAUGUACUUCCCUCCGCUGGCCACGUGCGAGCAGCCUCAGGUGCCGAUGAGUGGCACCGCCUCGACGCUCGCCGGCGACGGUGCUCUGAACGGUGCAGCCAUGCACUCUGGCUCCAAUGGGAGGAGGAGCUCGGGCGGGGUGCGUGAGAACGCUCGGCCAUCGUCUGUUCCGGAAGCGGCGCCGGUGCCGGUGAGGCAUCUCGGGUUCCAGAAGCUUCAGGAAGGCAUGAAUCAGUUGGACGUGGGAACCAAGGCGUGCAUCAGAGACGCCCUGUACCGGCUGGCCUACAGCGUGGAGCAGAGGCAUCAGGCAGUGGAACAGAACGUGGGCUCCUCGGCUGCAAACAGGCUCAGCACAUCGAGCGUGUGGGCGGAGACCGAGAGGAGCCCCAUGGAUCGCUCCGUGGCGCAGCUUCUUCUGCAGAAGCCGCUGGAUCGGAGGACGGCGAAUCGUGCCGCGUGA
RNAcentral lists this ribosomal RNA (1413 nucleotides) under Triticum aestivum (bread wheat). RNAcentral's name for it is "partial small subunit ribosomal RNA". The record is from RNAcentral. Lineage: Eukaryota; Viridiplantae; Streptophyta; Magnoliopsida; Poales; Poaceae.